CCCGGUGGUGAUGCCGGAGGGGCCACACCCGUUCCCAUUCCGAACACGGCAGUAAAGCCCUCCAGGGCCGAUGGUACUGCGCUGGCAACGGCGUGGGAGAGUAGGUUGCCGCCGGGA
RNAcentral lists this ribosomal RNA (117 nucleotides) under Armatimonadetes bacterium RBG_16_67_12. Lineage: Bacteria; Bacillati; Armatimonadota. The record is from RNAcentral.